RNAcentral lists this ribosomal RNA (782 nucleotides) under uncultured marine archaeon. RNAcentral's name for it is "bacterial SSU rRNA". It matches the Rfam family "Archaeal small subunit ribosomal RNA", at positions 44 to 833 of the family's 1478-position model. The record is from RNAcentral.
UCAAGCCUGCGAGUCUUGUAGUAAUACAGGCAGACGGAUCUGUAACGCGUAGUCCCUUUUACCCUAUGGACGGGGAUAACCUCGGGAAACUGAGAACCUUCCCGAUAGAACAUUAUGCCUGGAAUGGUUUAUGUUCCAAAUGAUUUAUCGCCGUAGGAUGGGACUGCGGCCCAUCAGUUUGUUGGUGAGGUAAUGGCCCACCAAGACUAUUACAGGUACGGGCUCUGAGAGGAGUGGCCCGGAGAUGGGUACUGAGACACGGACCCAGGCCCUAUGGGGCGCAGUAAGCGAUAAAACUUUGCAAUGUGCGAAAGCACGACAAGGUUAAUCCGAGUGGUUUCUGCUAAAGGAACCUUUUGUCGGUCCUAGAAACACCGAUGAAUAAGGGGUGGGCAAGUUCUGGUGUCAGCCGCCGCGGUAAAACCAGCACCUCAGGUGGUCAGGAUGAUUAUUGGGCCUAAAGUAUCCGUAGCCUGCGCUGUAAGUUUUCGGUUAAAUCUGUACGCUCAACGUACAGGCUGCCAGGAAUAAUUGCAGAGCUAAGGGAGUGGGAGAGGUAGACUGUACUCCGGUAUGAAGGGGGUAAAAUUCUUUGAUCUAUUGAUGACCACCUGUGGUGAAGGCGGCCCACCAGAGAUAGUGCUACGGUGAGGGGAUGAAAGCUGGGGGAGCGCCCGGAUUAGAUCCCGGGAAGUCCCAGAUGUAAACCAUGUAAAUUCAGUGAUGCAUUGGUUUGAGUUUCUUGUAUUGGCUGCAAGUAAGCUUUAAGUUACCCCCUGGCA